This 471-nucleotide ribosomal RNA is filed under the name uncultured bacterium. RNAcentral describes it as "bacterial SSU rRNA". It matches the Rfam family "Bacterial small subunit ribosomal RNA", at positions 30 to 494 of the family's 1533-position model. The record is from RNAcentral.
AUUGAACGCUGGCGGCAGGCCUAACACAUGCAAGUCGAGCGGUAGAGAGGUGCUUGCAUCUCUUGAGAGCGGCGGACGGGUGAGUAAUGCCUAGGAAUCUGCCUGGUGGUGGGGGAUAACGUUUCGAAAGGAACGCUAAUACCGCAUACGUCCUACGGGAGAAAGCGGGGGAUCUUCGGACCUCGCGCCAUUAGAUGAGCCUAGGUCGGAUUAGCUAGUUGGUGAGGUAAUGGCUCACCAAGGCGACGAUCCGUAACUGGUCUGAGAGGAUGAUCAGUCACACUGGAACUGAGACACGGUCCAGACUCCUACGGGAGGCAGCAGUGGGGAAUAUUGGACAAUGGGCGAAAGCCUGAUCCAGCCAUGCCGCGUGUGUGAAGAAGGUCUUCGGAUUGUAAAGCACUUUCAGCGAGGAGGAAGAGUUGUGUGUUAAUAGUACACAGCUUUGACGUUACUCGCAGAAGAAGCACC